GAUGAACGCUGGCGGCGUGCCUAAUACAUGCCAGUCGAGCGAACAGACGAGGAGCUUGCUCCUCUGACGUUAGCGGCGGACGGGUGAGUAACACGUGGAUCACCUACCUAUCAGACUGGGAUCACUUCGGGACACCGGAGCUAAUACCGGAUAAUAUCUUGAACCGCAUGGUUCAAUAGUGAAAGACGGUUUUGCUGUCACUUAUAGAUGGAUCCGCGCUGCAUUAGCUAGUUGGUAAGGUAACGGCUUACCAAGGGAACGAUGCGUAGACGACCUGAGAGGGGGGUCGGCCACCCGGGAAGUGAGACACGGUCCAGACGCCUACGGGAGGCAGCAGUAGGGAAUCUGCGGCAAUGGGGGAGAGCCUGACGGAGCAACGCCGCGUGAGUGAUGAAGGUCUUCGGAUCGGAAAACUCUGUUAUUGGGGAAGAACAAAUGUGUAAGUAACUAUGCACGUCGUGACGGUACCUAAUCAGAAAGCAACGGCUAACUACGUG
Molecule: ribosomal RNA, 497 nt
Filed under: uncultured bacterium
Lineage: Bacteria
Description: partial 16S ribosomal RNA
Rfam family: Bacterial small subunit ribosomal RNA
Source: RNAcentral